RNAcentral lists this ribosomal RNA (562 nucleotides) under Mesorhizobium sp. enrichment culture. RNAcentral describes it as "bacterial SSU rRNA". It matches the Rfam family "Bacterial small subunit ribosomal RNA", at positions 338 to 916 of the family's 1533-position model. Lineage: Bacteria; Pseudomonadati; Pseudomonadota; Alphaproteobacteria; Hyphomicrobiales; Phyllobacteriaceae. The record is from RNAcentral.
UCUACGGGAGGCAGCAGUGGGGAAUAUUGCACAAUGGGCGAAAGCCUGAUGCAGCAACGCCGCGUGAGUGAUGAAGGCUUUCGAGUCGUAAAGCUCUUUGAUCAGGGAUGAUAAUGACAGUACCUGAAAAACAAGCCACGGCUAACUACGUGCCAGCAGCCGCGGUAAUACGUAGGUGGCGAGCGUUGUCCGGAAUUACUGGGCGUAAAGGAUGCGUAGGUGGAUAAUUAAGUGGGAUGUGAAAUCCCCGGGCUCAACCCGGGAACUGCAUACCAAACUGGUUAUCUAGAGUGUAGGAGAGGAAAGUAGAAUUCAUAGUGUAGCGGUGAAAUGCGUAGAUAUUAUGAGGAAUACCAGUGGCGAAGGCGACUUUCUGGACUAUAACUGACACUGAGGCAUGAAAGCGUGGGUAGCAAACAGGAUUAGAUACCCUGGUAGUCCACGCCGUAAACGAUGGGUACUAGGUGUAGGGGGUAUCGACUCCCCCUGUGCCGUCGUUAACACAAUAAGUACCCCGCCUGGGGAGUACGGUCGCAAGACUAAAACUCAAAGGAAUUGACGG